RNAcentral lists this long non-coding RNA (2283 nucleotides) under Pomacea canaliculata. RNAcentral's name for it is "uncharacterized LOC112568563". Lineage: Eukaryota; Metazoa; Mollusca; Gastropoda; Architaenioglossa; Ampullariidae. The record is from RNAcentral.
AGUUUCCACAAGUGGAGCCGCUGGCGUCGAGUGGGAGCAACAGGAUGUGGCCUCUCGUCUUUCUGCUCUGCUUCAUUCAAAGUUUUGGUGUUCAAGGGGUCAAUUGGACGAUUUUAACUUUUACAACGGACAAGGAUAACGCGGGAACAGACUCCGAUAUCUUUAUUACUCUCCAUGAAGUCACGGAUCUUCCGCAGAAAUGGAAUUAGACAAUGAAGAAAACAACUUUGAGAGAAGCAAUUAGAUACCUUUUGUCACAACGGACGAAUUGGUGAAGUGUGCUCAGUGAACAUCAGGUCUGACGUAGUGGCGAUGAUUACGAAUGGCAUCUCCUAUGGGUAAAAUAGAACUGUAGUGUUUGCUUUCUAAAACUAAGUGGCUUCAAUAAGACACCAAGAUAUAAAUGAUAUUAAUUUCAUAAUUAUGUGAUCCAUACGUUGCGAUACAAACAUCCCAGACAGCACAAAAUGUUGGACCAAUGUGGUUCCAGUGCUUGCAGGUACUGGCCAUCAUAGCCACUGAGAGCUAGCCUCAAGCCAGGAUGGAAACAAUACAGCGGCCAUUUAAGAAACUCCCGCUACAUGGCUGUCACCAUGGUAACACGCCGUCUGAUGGGCUCGCAGUGCCUUGCGUGACUGACAUAUGUAUAUUAUGUCGGCACAGAACACAACCAAUCUGAGCUUCCAUUACGAUGAUAAUAUAUACAUAUAAAUAUAUAUGUCUAAGACUGCGCCCUAGAGCUUUAAUGGUAGCCACUCUGUCAGUCCUGUAUUUUUCCAUACUGGGCCAAAAUAUUUUGACAUUGUUGUACGAUGAUAGAAGGCAUAGCUGGAGCCGACAUGGCUCAACAUACAGCAAUAUUUCUCCAAGAUUUAUUCAUUUAAAUGGACACAUUUCUUUAAUCACAUCACAACAUUUACGGUACUGCGAUAUAUAGCACAACUGAUUACCACGGACAUCAUUGUUUACUGUUUAAAUUAAAUAAAAUUUUGGCAAAAUUUAUUAGAAUUUAUAGUUCAUUUAUUAAAUUUAAUGUAUUCUUAACAAAGCAUUACACAUGCGGGAAGUCCCCCAAGGAAUUUGCACUUAAAGACUACUUUGCCUAAAGCUAAUGGCAGCAGGCAGACAAUAUUUCCAAUGGCACCUGACACACCGACUGUUAUUUUACCUGCUUAUCACUUUAGUAAUACUACAUCCUUUAGGACAAAGACAAGAAUGUUUAAUUCUUUGUAUUAGCCCUUACCAAAAAAAUUCGUAGUAUUCAUUCGCAAAAUGCGUAUUUCAUGCAAUGUUGUCAUGUUUGUCCUUUUUGCAAAUUUAAAUCUCAAUGAUACAGAAAAGAGAAUUCUAGACGUGUCUAAAGACAUUAAAUGUCUUAUUGCUUAUGAUUUCUUAUUGUGAUUACACAUUUGUCACUAAGCUCGUAUCUCCCAUACAUAAUCCAGGUUUUUUGCUUUCUGUUGCUCACAGAUUGGGUUUCGGGACUAAUAAGCAGAACACUUUUACGUGCACUGUUGGAUAGAUAAACAAAAUGGAUUAAACAGGGAUCUCCAAGCUUUUCUCCCAUGCUCCCGACAGAACAAAUAAGUAUAUCCUACUUACAUAUCUGAAUAUAUCAGAAACAUAUAAUGUUAACACUCUUUGUUAAAAAAAAGAUAAAAUUUGUUGCUAUGUGUGUUUCAAACUUGGUAUAUUUAACAUCUUUCUAGACGACUGUAGAUGUUAUCUCAAAAAUUCAACACUAUUGUUGCAAAUUUACAGCUUGACUAAUACUGAUUUUGUUGCAUAAAUAAUGUCAUAAGGUUUUUAACACAAUUUUUAAUUAACAUCUGCCUACAUUUACAUUUAUCUACCGUCUGACAAUGACUGUUAUCAGGUAAACCAAAGUAGGCGCAGACUUUAAAUCCGGCACUGACCAACCAGCAUAAAGAGUUUAUUCUUCACCUGAUGGAACACUUGGUCAUCGGCUAAAUGGAAUUCUAAGAAAUAUCUGUCAAUGUCUACUGUCACCUUUGAACAGUGUCAUGGCACACAACCCUGCUAAUGUUUUUGUUUACACUUGAAAAUCUGUAGAAUAUUACAACAAAGUGGCCAAAAUUUAUGACAGUUUUAUCUUACAUCUCUAAGUACUGCAAUGUGGCUAUAAAAGCAUAUUUAAUUUGAGUCAAUAAUAGUAAGGUCUUUUUACCCCACAAGCAAUUCUAAAGCAAACAAUUCUACAAAAAAGUAAAAGAGUGAAAAUAAUGUCCAAUUUUUUCGAAAAAAGGUGUUUCUAAGAUUUUG